GUGAAUCAUCAAAUUUUUGAACGCAAAUUGCACUCUCUGGUAUUCCGGGGAAUAUGCCUGUUUGAGGGUCAGUCUAUAAAAAAUCGACAUCGUUGCUGUUUCGCGGUGGCGUCCGUCGGAAAUUGGGUCAUCUUAAAUCCUUUUGAUUUAAGCGACUUAUGAUUUUCUUUUGGUUCCAUGAACGUUUCUACGAUCUAUUUCUUUACACGUUUAAGGUAUCGAUUUUUACUAGACUUGACCAUCAUAUCGGAUCGCGUCCAGAAUCAUUCAUU
This 272-nucleotide unclassified non-coding RNA is filed under the name Glomus sp. RNAcentral describes it as "partial contains 5.8S ribosomal RNA and internal transcribed spacer 2". The stretch from base 1 to 71 matches the Rfam family "5.8S ribosomal RNA", at positions 84 to 154 of the family's 154-position model. Lineage: Eukaryota; Fungi; Glomeromycota; Glomeromycetes; Glomerales; Glomeraceae. The record is from RNAcentral.